AUUGAACGCUGGCGGCAGGCCUAAUACAUGCAAGUCGAACGAGUGGCGGACGGGUGAGCAAUGUCUGGGAAACUGCCUGACGGCGGGGGAUAACUACUGGAAACGGUAGCUAAUACUGCAUACGACCGGUUGUGCUGAGAUGGGAUGAGCUAGGAGGGGGGGUAACGGCACACCGAGGCGACGAUCCCUAGCUGGUCUGAGAGGAUGACCAGCCACACUGGAACUGAGACACUGUCCAGACUCCGACGGGAGGCAGCAGUGGGGAAUAUUGCACAAUGGGCGCAAGCCUGAUGCAGCAAUGCCGCGUGAAUGAAGAAGGCCUUCGGGUUGUAAAGUACUUUCAGCGAUGAGGCGUUACUCGCAGAGGAAGCAUCGGCUAACUCCGUGCCAGCAGCCGCGGUAAUUC
Molecule: ribosomal RNA, 406 nt
Filed under: uncultured bacterium
Lineage: Bacteria
Description: partial 16S ribosomal RNA
Rfam family: Bacterial small subunit ribosomal RNA
Source: RNAcentral